AAGGGCAGAGCCUGCACUGUGGCUUGUGACUAGCCUCAUUAGUUGCCUGUUAAUAAACAUUAGCUGAAUAGUUACCAGUGUUGUUACCAGCAUUUGUCCUCUUGUGAAUUCAAGAGUCCUCGCACUCUUUAACAUGUUCUUUAUAAAAUGUAUAAACCCUUCCAAACUAUUUAAAGAGGAGUGUUAUUGCAUGCAGAUAAUCAUAAUUUUGAGUUUGCCUCAGAAGACUACUAAAGCAAAUUUGUUCAUUUUUUUUUAAAAAAAUGCCCUUUAAUGUUUCAAAAAAAAAUAACAGUGUAAUUUGACUGACUUUAAGAUCAGCCAUAAAUAAUGAGCAGUCUUCAAAAGCACUUUUCACACAGAUCAUCUGGGCUCCAGGGAGGAAGAGUCUGUGCCACUGAUGUUUUCAAGUGCAGGACUCACUCAAACCUCUCAGCAUCUUAGGACUGUUUCAAGUAAUCAUAUUGAUGAACUCGUAAUUCAUGGUUGACCUUCAGAAGAAGAUAUUCAUUGUAUAUUAACAUUUAGAGGUCAUUUAAAUAACAAAAGUCUGUAUUGUAAAGGACCUGUACAAUUUUAAGACAAUAAAGAAUUGAAAGUGUAAAUGUGUGUGCCUUUUAAAGGUUACAUUUUAAAUAUAUUGCGUGAUUUCUGGGAAAGGUGAAAAAAAUGUUCUGUAUCAAAGAGAAACCUGUUUAUUAAAAAAUGUUGUUUGUAUCCUAUGUAACAGGGUGAAGUGGUGUUCUGUGGAACAGAACCAUGUAAACUCAAGGUUUAAAAGCUGGCACUGAACAAAGAUAUUGAAGUAGCUAGGCUAGUUGAUUGGAAAGAGUUUCUUCAGGGUUGUUGUUAGCAGUAAUAAAUGAUUCUUUUUCAGAAAUAUUUAAUUUCUCCAUAAAAAUAAGUUGGAUAUUUUUAUAAAUAUGUAAUCUAAUAGAAUGAAAAUGGAAUAAACAUAGUGUAUAGAAUACCUAAUUCAAAAACAUAUUAAUGAAUAAACGAACAAAUGAUUUCAUGUUUCUAUUCAGUCCUUCAAUGACAUCUUUAUAUAUAGACUACAAGUGUAACAUGACUUUAUGUAUUUUUAAAACAGUUGUAUUUGUGAUUGAGUCUGUUAGUGCAGUCUAUUUCACUUAAUUGGUGCUCUUCAGAUUUAAUAUAUGGUUUUAUGCUGUGGAAUUACUGUGUGUUCUGACACACUAACUCUCUUUCGUUAACACUGAGUCUUGUGGUCGUUGAUUGUCUUUGUUACCCAGUACUUUCAUAUUCAUCUUACCAGUGUUCACACACAUGUUCCAAGCAAGUGAGAACUAAAAAGAUUUUGUUACAAAGAAAACAAAACAAUUCCAGAAGCCUAAAUUCAUUGAGCUUUUGUUUUUACAUAGUUAAAGGCAAUAUGAACUUUGCAGCUAGAAUGAAUACCUGACUUUCAGUCUCAGAUGUGGCUUUUAGAUAAAGUUCCACAAAUGGACCCAUUGUCUGAUGUCUAAAACAGGGUACUGGAACCUAUGUAAUAUAGUUUGCACUUUCAAUGCAAAAAUUUUUAGGUAUGUGUUCAGUACUCAACAUGUUAACUGUUGUAAAGGUUUAUACGGUAUAGUCUUGGGGGGGACAGAAAUGUAUAGGGGCCCCACAGAGUUCCAGCAUCACAGGAGGCUGAGGCAGGAGCAUUUGAGCAACAGAGAAUGACAACAUCUGAAGAACAGGUGGGGAAAAACGGCUUUUACUGUGAACUUUUAAAGAAUGCUUAUGUUACAUAUGUUUAUUGUGACAGUGGUAAUUUAAUAUAAUAAAAACAUUAU
RNAcentral lists this long non-coding RNA (1802 nucleotides) under Mus musculus (house mouse). Its description in RNAcentral is "long non-coding RNA chr1:6274563-6276365". The record is from RNAcentral. Lineage: Eukaryota; Metazoa; Chordata; Mammalia; Rodentia; Muridae.